GGUCAGUGAUGAACAGUAAAAGGUCUGAUUACCCACAAUCCUCUUCUGCAGCCCUCUGGCUCCCAGCAGCCCCUGCUCUCUGUCCCUACCAUGCUCUAGGUGUGCAUUGGUAGUUUGAGGGGCAGCUGACAGGAAGUGACAUCACAUCAAAAGCCUGUAUAGAGAUCUUAUGGGCUGUUUGUGGUACCUGACAACCGAUGAGCAAGGAGUGUCAGGCUGAGAAGCAAGGAGGAGGGGAAUGAUCUCAAGUUUUCAACCUGAGACC
Molecule: non-coding RNA, 265 nt
Organism: Echeneis naucrates (live sharksucker)
Lineage: Eukaryota; Metazoa; Chordata; Actinopteri; Carangiformes; Echeneidae
Product: small Cajal body-specific RNA 6
Source: Ensembl